CGAAAGCUUCGUCUGUACCCAAUAAGGUAGACUGAACGAUGUCGCAUCGUAGCAAAACAUCUCGAUACAUAAGCAUUUCUAGCGUACGUGCUUGGCAAAUCAAGUGUGUUGAAGAGCGGAUGGGAAGGUCUAUGAAAAAUCGAGACGAGGGCGACACAAUAAGCGAGGAAGGAGAGGGUUUCGUAAGGUGCUUUAAUCGGAAAUGCGGGGUGUCCUUCACACUGGGGUAAAAUUACCAGGCGCCCAUAAAACGUAAAGCAACCAACGAAUACCAAGGAGCUUAGCCCACACUGCGUGACUUCGCACACAUUCAUCGUAACAAAGCGACGAGGAUGAAACAGACAUUACUGACAGAAAGCGGAUGUUGCAAGCACAAUGGACGACAACAAAACAUAAAUAUUGGCCUAUUAGUCGGAACUGCGAUAUCGAUACCCCGAUGAAAUUUGUCAGAGCUUUUGUGCACAGUUCCGGCGGUAAUCGCUUUACAAAUGAUGUAUAGAAAAAAACUGUAACCGUGUAUUGUUUGGUUGAAUCUGUUAGAGGAAUGCUAUAGUCCCAGGUAUACAUGGGGGUGUAUCGAUCACACAAUGUGUGAAGCGAUGAUAAUAAGUUUUGAAAUAAAUCAAUAGCGACACUAUAUUAGAUUAAUAGUGACAAAAUUAAUACAAAUGGACCCAUUAAUGGCGGUAGUGUUACCAUUAUUGGAAUAGACGGUCUUGUCAAUGAAUUUUCUAUAUGUUGCUUAAUGGGUUUUCCAAUAGUACUUGCUCCUAAAUUUGUAUUGAAUAAACUUAUUAUGUAAAUAUAAAUACAAAUUUAACAUAGCAGAAA
This is a long non-coding RNA of Galleria mellonella (greater wax moth), 831 nucleotides long. RefSeq lists it as uncharacterized. NCBI's taxonomy places the organism in Eukaryota, Metazoa, Arthropoda, Insecta, Lepidoptera, Pyralidae. The transcript is spliced from 4 exons. The record is from RefSeq and is a predicted model, not a curated record.